CGAUUGCACCACUGCGGCCCCCGCCGGCCUGGCACUGCCCCCAAGGCUCGCACACCCCCCAGCUUCGCAGUGCCAGCAGCUUUGAGGGAAGAACCCUGGGCCGGGUGCCACAGACCCAGAGAGCUCCGAGCCAUCCAGGAGACGCCCUGGAGGAGGGGGACCUGCGGUCCCCACUGUAGUUACCACAGCUUACCUUGGAGGCGGGGAGAGAGGAGGAAAGAAAGAGGGGAGACAAGCGUGGGGCCUGCUCCCUGCCUCCCUGCGCCACACCCCCGUAGCUGGGGCUUCCAGUGUGGAGAAAGAAAACAGAAUUUGGAGUCAGGAAAAAGCCCCAGACUAGGGGAUCCUUAGGCUCUAAAGGGCCGUAUCUUGGAUCCAGCCUCCGUCCUUCCCGUCCAGUCCACCUGCGCCCUCGAGCGCCCGCGUUCUCACCAGGCAGCCUGCCCGGCCCGGAAGCCGCGUCUAGGGAAGGCAGCAACGACGGGCCUGCUCAGAGAGCACGAUACACACAAAGUUUUGGGGUAGAUGAUAAGCUACAGAUACCCUCUUGGUUAAGUUAAUUCACCUUUGUUAAUAAAGGUCAUAGUGUCUUCUGCAGGUGACAACGUUUUGUCUCAGUGCAGUCUGUCUCGGAAAUGAACUGGUUCGGGUAAAUUCUGGAGGCAGAAAGAGACUUUCGUCGACACCCACCCCACAGCAGAAGAGGCAGCAUGCUCUUUCCCAGUUACGAGAAUCCCACAGCCGCAGAAAUCAUUCUCAGUGAUCAGCAUCUGCUCCCUCACUCUCCAGCCGCCGUCGGUGGACUGUCUGCCUCCAUCCCACCACAUACGUUCUCAUCGGAUCUUCCGUCCGGACUCCAGCCAUGGGACAUUGGCCACUCACGGACUGAGAAAGCAUUCCUUCUCAUCUCUCCUGUGGGGCUUGGCCUUCUGCUGUUAAAUGGGGAUCAGGACGCCAAGCCUGGCAGUCACACCUGCAGCGAACAUCGCCUCCAAUGCCCAUUGACCACUAGGCGCAAGUACGUUCAACGUCAUCAUCACGGUCGUCUUCUUCUUCGGCAAUAGAUUCUUUCGAUUCUUCUCCACAGCUGGCAUUCACCAUGACAUACACAUGCGCUCACAGGUAGGCAUUUAGGUCCCUGGCCCCCGCGUGCAAGCUGAUGGUGGGGUAUUCCAGUGGGAAUCUUCAUCCAGAGCCAUCUCAUGAAGACAGGUGGCUCUCGGCGACGUAAAGGGUGCCGGGGCCGAGGGCUUUGCCGCUCAGUACAGCCUCAGUCUCUGGCUACUGCCAUCGGAGCCCCUCUGCCCAGCCAGGCAGCGGGACGCUCGGAGGAAGCUCAUUGCAGCAGGGAGUGCGGGGACACAGGCCAUGACUCUACAUUAUGCUAUGUUCCCAGGUAGAGCGGCCAGCUGUCCCCGUACGAGGGUACCACAGUACCGUUGACUGUGUAUUCCCUCUGCUGUGUUGUUUUAUUUAUUAUUAAAAUUCUUCAAGGCUGAGACCUUUUAAAGAAAACUCUGAAAAGCAGUAUGUUGCUACGUUUCUU
Molecule: long non-coding RNA, 1546 nt
Filed under: Ursus maritimus (polar bear)
Lineage: Eukaryota; Metazoa; Chordata; Mammalia; Carnivora; Ursidae
Description: lncRNA (ENSUMAG00000023568.1)
Source: RNAcentral